This 351-nucleotide unclassified non-coding RNA is filed under the name soil metagenome. Its description in RNAcentral is "partial contains 5.8S ribosomal RNA, internal transcribed spacer 2, and large subunit ribosomal RNA". The stretch from base 1 to 120 matches the Rfam family "5.8S ribosomal RNA", at positions 35 to 154 of the family's 154-position model. The record is from RNAcentral.
GAUGAAGAACGCAGCGAAAUGCGAUAAGUAAUGUGAAUUGCAGAAUUCAGUGAAUCAUCGAAUCUUUGAACGCACAUUGCGCCCGCCAGUAUUCUGGCGGGCAUGCCUGUUCGAGCGUCAUUACAACCCUCAGGCCCCCGGGCCUGGCGUUGGGGAUCGGCGGAAGCCCCCUGCGGGCACAACGCCGUCCCCCAAAUACAGUGGCGGUCCCGCCGCAGCUUCCAUUGCGUAGUAGCUAACACCUCGCAACUGGAGAGCGGCGCGGCCACGCCGUAAAACACCCAACUUCUGAAUGUUGACCUCGAAUCAGGUAGGAAUACCCGCUGAACUUAAGCAUAUCAAAGCGGAGGA